GAGUUUGAUCCUGGCUCAGGAUGAACGCUAGCGGCAGGCUUAACACAUGCAAGUCGAGGGGCAGCGCGGGUAGCAAUACCUGGCGGCGACCGGCAAACGGGUGCGGAACACGUACGCAAUUUACCUCUAUCUGGAAGAUAGCCCGAAGAAAUUCGGAUUAAUACUCCAUAGUAUAUUGGGAAGGCAUCUUCUUAAUAUUAAAGCUCAGGCGGAUAGAGAUGAGCGUGCGUCCCAUUAGGUAGUUGGUGAGGUAACGGCUCACCAAGCCAACGAUGGGGUAGCUGAUGUGAGAGCAUGAUCAGCCACACGGGGCACUGAGACACGGGCCCGACUCCUAUGGGAGGCAGCAGUGAGGAAUAUUGGGCAAUGGACGCAAGUCUGACCCAGCCAUGCCGCGUGCAGGAUGAAGGCGUUCUGCGUUGUAAACUGCUUUUAUCUGGGAAGAAACCUGAGUAUUCUUAUUCAGCCGACGGUACCAGAUGAAUAAGCACC
This 492-nucleotide ribosomal RNA is filed under the name uncultured Sphingobacterium sp. Its description in RNAcentral is "bacterial SSU rRNA". It matches the Rfam family "Bacterial small subunit ribosomal RNA", at positions 9 to 494 of the family's 1533-position model. The record is from RNAcentral. Lineage: Bacteria; Pseudomonadati; Bacteroidota; Sphingobacteriia; Sphingobacteriales; Sphingobacteriaceae.